UGAGGAAUAUUGCACAAUGGGCGCAAGCCUGAUGCAGCGACGCCGCGUGUGGGAUGAAGGGGCUACGCCUCGUAAACCACUGUAGCCCGGGACGAAAAACGCCUUAGAGGCGUUAGACGGUACCGGGAAAGUAAGGGUCGGCUAACUCCGUGCCAGCAGCCGCGGUAAUACGUAGGACCCAAGCGUUGUCCGGAUUUACUGGGUGUAAAGGGUGCGCAGGCGGAUGGGUAAGUCAGGGGUGAAAGUCUGCAGCUUAACUGUAGAAUUGCCUGUGAUACUGCUCAUCUUGAGGGUGGGAGAGGUUGAUGGAAUUCCAGGUGUAGCAGUGAAAUGCGUAGAUAUCUGGAAGAACACCGGUGGCGAAGGCGGUCAACUGGCCCAUAACUGACGCUCAUGCACGAAAGCGUGGGGAGCAAACA
RNAcentral lists this ribosomal RNA (419 nucleotides) under uncultured bacterium. RNAcentral's name for it is "bacterial SSU rRNA". It matches the Rfam family "Bacterial small subunit ribosomal RNA", at positions 355 to 774 of the family's 1533-position model. The record is from RNAcentral.